GUACACUCCUGCGGGAGGCAGCAGUGGGGAAUUUUGAACAAUGGGCGAAAGCCUGAUCCAGCAAUGCCGCGUGAGUGAAGAAGGCCUUCGGGUUGUAAAGCUCUUUUGUCAGGGAAGAAACGGUGAGAGCUAAUAUCUCUUGCUAAUGACGGUACCUGAAGAAUAAGAACCGGCUAACUACGUGCCAGCAGCCGCGGUAAUACGUAGGGUGCAAGCGUUAAUCGGAAUUACUGGGCGUAAAGCGUGCGCAGGCGGUUUUGUAAGUCUGAUGUGAAAUCCCCGGGCUCAACCUGGGAAUUGCAUUGGAGACUGCAAUGCUAGAAUCUGGCAGAGGGGGGUAGAAUUCCACGUGUAGCAGUGAAAUGCGUAGAUAUGUGGAGGAACACCGAUGGCGAAGGCAGCCCCCUGGGUCAAGAUUGACGCUCAUGCACGAAAGCGUGGGGAGCAAACAGGAUUAGAUACCCCAGUAGUCCCA
RNAcentral lists this ribosomal RNA (475 nucleotides) under uncultured organism. RNAcentral describes it as "partial 16S ribosomal RNA". It matches the Rfam family "Bacterial small subunit ribosomal RNA", at positions 331 to 797 of the family's 1533-position model. The record is from RNAcentral.